Salmo salar (Atlantic salmon) is the source of this 54-nucleotide non-coding RNA. Lineage: Eukaryota; Metazoa; Chordata; Actinopteri; Salmoniformes; Salmonidae. The record is from Rfam.
UGCACUCCCUACUGUAAGUCGCUCUGGAUAAGAGCGUCUGCUAAAUUACUAAAA